ACGAACGCUGGCGGCGUGCUUAACACAUGCAAGUCGAGCGGAAAGGCCCUGCUUUUGUGGGGUGCUCGAGUGGCGAACGGGUGAGUAACACGUGAGUAACCUGCCCUUGACUUUGGGAUAACUUCAGGAAACUGGGGCUAAUACCGGAUAGGAGCUCCUGCUGCCUGGUGGGGGUUGGAAAGUUUCGGCGGUUGGGGAUGGACUCGCGGCUUAUCAGCUUGUUGGUGGGGUAGUGGCUUACCAAGGCUUUGACGGGUAGCCGGCCUGAGAGGGUGACCGGCCACAUUGGGACUGAGAUACGGCCCAGACUCCUACGGGAGGCAGCAGUGGGGAAUAUUGCACAAUGGGCGGAAGCCUGAUGCAGCAACGCCGCGUGCGGGAUGACGGCCUUCGGGUUGUAAACCGCUUUCGCCUGUGACGAAGCGUGAGUGACGGUAAUGGGUAAAGAAGCACCGGCUAACUACGUG
Molecule: ribosomal RNA, 467 nt
Filed under: uncultured bacterium
Lineage: Bacteria
Description: partial 16S ribosomal RNA
Rfam family: Bacterial small subunit ribosomal RNA
Source: RNAcentral